Molecule: ribosomal RNA, 439 nt
Filed under: uncultured bacterium
Lineage: Bacteria
Description: partial 16S ribosomal RNA
Rfam family: Bacterial small subunit ribosomal RNA
Source: RNAcentral
CCUACGGGAGGCAGCAGUGGGGGAUAUUGCACAAUGGGGGGAACCCUGAUGCAGCGACGCCGCGUGGGUGAAGAAGCGCCUCGGCGCGUAAAGCCCUGUCAGCAGGGAAGAAAAUGACGGUACCUGAAGAAGAAGCCCCGGCUAACUACGUGCCAGCAGCCGCGGUAAUACGUAGGGGGCAAGCGUUAUCCGGAUUUACGGGGGGUAAGGGGGGCGCAGCCGGCGAUGCAGGCCAGGAGUGAAAGCCCGGGCCCAACCCCGGGACUGCUCUUGGAACUGCGUGGCUGGAGUGCAGGAGGGGCAGGCGGAAUUCCUGGUGUAGCGGUGAAAUGCGUAGAGAUCAGGAGGAACACCGGUGGCGAAGGCGGCCUGCUGGACUGCAACUGACGUUGAGGCCCGAAAGCGUGGGGAGCAAACAGGAUUAGAUACCCGAGUAGUC